Molecule: non-coding RNA, 434 nt
Organism: Chelonoidis abingdonii (Abingdon island giant tortoise)
Lineage: Eukaryota; Metazoa; Chordata; Testudines; Testudinidae
Source: RefSeq, a predicted model, not a curated record
CUGAGGGAAUAGACAGGCUUCAUGGGGGCUCUUCUCUCCUUAGAACAAACCACACAACCUGACCUGCAACUGAUGCACUAGAGGUGAAAUGGGGACUGAAGUGAGGAAAAGAGGAGCCUGACACUGUCUCUCCUUCUUCCAAACUGGAGGGCUGCCUCUGAGACCCACAGUGAAGAUGCCACCAUGAUUCUACAGUGAUGAUGGAGUGCUGUGGAGAAGUUAAUGCAACCUAGCAGGAGAAUACUGGCCUCUGCCCAGUCUACCCGCAUCUCACUUGUGGGUCUGAGACCCAGAGAAGGAUUCUUUGUGGAGUCCAGGGAGAAGGAGACUUGACCUUGCAGCAGAUAUAUGGAUGACAUGUACAUGAUGAAAUCUGUGACUUGAUUGGCUGAAGAAGCUUCCAGCACGUGCAGUUAUCUUCCAAUAAAUCAAAG